CAGAUCGACGCACUCGCUCACACAAGGACGUGUCUGAUUGGUCGAAAUGAGAGGACGCCAACAUGGCGCGACCAAUCACAGCCAUUGGUAGAAGUUUCGUAUUACUUCGAAACUUUAAUACUAAUCGUAAGGGAAAGACACGUGCAUAACGGACGAAGUUUCGAAGAGAAAUGAUACACUGCGUCACAGAUCGACGCACUCGCUCACACAAGGACGUGUCUGAUUGGUCGAAAUGAGAGGACGCCAACAUGGCGCGACCAAUCACAGCCAUCGGUAGAAGUUUCGUAUUACUUCGAAACUUUAAUACUAAUCGUAAGGGAAAGACACGUGCAUAACGGACGAAGUUUCGAAGAGAAAUGAUACACUGCGUCACAGAUCGACGCACUCGCUCACACAAGGACGUGUCUGAUUGGUCGAAAUGACAGGACGCCAACAUGGCGCGACCAAUCGCAGCCGUUGGUAGAAGUUUCGAAACUGUAAUGCUAAUCGUAAUGGAAACGUUCAUACAAUAUAUAUCAGCGAAGAAAUCGAAUAAUCCACUUUUUUC
Non-coding RNA from Osmia lignaria (orchard mason bee), 547 nucleotides. The record is from RefSeq and is a predicted model, not a curated record. NCBI's taxonomy places the organism in Eukaryota, Metazoa, Arthropoda, Insecta, Hymenoptera, Megachilidae.